Molecule: ribosomal RNA, 526 nt
Filed under: uncultured Ralstonia sp.
Lineage: Bacteria; Pseudomonadati; Pseudomonadota; Betaproteobacteria; Burkholderiales; Burkholderiaceae
Description: bacterial SSU rRNA
Rfam family: Bacterial small subunit ribosomal RNA
Source: RNAcentral
GUGCCAGCAGCCGCGGUAAUACGUAGGGUCCAAGCGUUAAUCGGAAUUACUGGGCGUAAAGCGUGCGCAGGCGGUUGCGCAAGACCGAUGUGAAAUCCCCGAGCUUAACUUGGGAAUUGCAUUGGUGACUGCACGGCUAGAGUGUGUCAGAGGGGGGUAGAAUUCCACGUGUAGCAGUGAAAUGCGUAGAGAUGUGGAGGAAUACCGAUGGCGAAGGCAGCCCCCUGGGAUAACACUGACGCUCAUGCACGAAAGCGUGGGGAGCAAACAGGAUUAGAUACCCUGGUAGUCCACGCCCUAAACGAUGUCAACUAGUUGUUGGGGAUUCAUUUCCUUAGUAACGUAGCUAACGCGUGAAGUUGACCGCCUGGGGAGUACGGUCGCAAGAUUAAAACUCAAAGGAAUUGACGGGGACCCGCACAAGCGGUGGAUGAUGUGGAUUAAUUCGAUGCAACGCGAAAAACCUUACCUACCCUUGACAUGCCACUAACGAAGCAGAGAUGCAUUAGGUGCUCGAAAGAGAAAG